GCUAUGGCAAAACCCAAAAACUAAAACACGUGUCUCCCUCAUUCUGUGUGGACCUAGUAGGUCUUGCCCUCUCUUGCUUCACUCCCAACGGUGCAACAUCACCGGUGCGACGGUGAUCUCUCCACCGGCGGCUUAAUUUUUAUAAUUCCAAUUUCGCGUUCGCUUCACUUCCUCUGGAAAUCUCCUUCAAUUCGCUGAUAUUAUUGUUGUUUAACUUUAACCACAGCGAUGAGAGCGAUUGUGAAAAUCACCGGAGGGAGAUUGGGCAGCGUUUUAGGGUUCUUCAAUAGGUUCAUUCAUUCGCUGCCCCAAUCUCCUCCUUUAUCUGCGACCAUUGAUUUUAGUUCUCCAACUUUCUCUUCUUCUUUUGUGGGCUCUAUGGAGCUCAUGGCUGUCCCAAAACGCAAGGUUUCUCCCCAUAAAAGAGGAAUAAGGAAUGGACCAAAAGCUCUUAAACCUAUUCCUGUCAUAGUCCUAUGCAAGUUCUGUUGCGGUCAUGUACAGUUAAAAAAUGUUAAUAUUGUAGGUCAAAAAUAGGAUUCAAUCUUGGAGCACCAAUGAACAAUUGCUUGUUGGCAAAGUCUAUGAAUAUAUUAGAGGAAAUCUCUCCAAGUUUGGGCUCACAUUCAUGAUUUGACUCCUUUCUGCAGGCGUUUCACUUCUUUACAGCGCAUUACUGACUUUUUAAUUAGGGGCAGAUCCACAUCAGGUGUUCAAGGAAAAUUAUGUUGUCUGGCUAUUGCAAUUACAGUCUACUGUAUCUGUCUGUCUAGGAACAAGCAGCUGAUUUUUGAAGAUUAUCAAUUUUCUGUAAUAGAGGUUAUUAACAAGAUUAAGUUUCUUAUGUAUAGACAAGCGCACCUGUUGCAAUUGUUUUAACAUCUUGAUAUAGGCCUUUUUGUAUUAGGAAGACUUUUGAUUUUCUCUAACUGCGAGGUAUGUCCUGUUUACUGUUGUAUCA
Long non-coding RNA from Glycine soja, 961 nucleotides. RefSeq lists it as uncharacterized. The transcript is spliced from 4 exons. Lineage: Eukaryota; Viridiplantae; Streptophyta; Magnoliopsida; Fabales; Fabaceae. The record is from RefSeq and is a predicted model, not a curated record.